GACGAACGCUGGCGGCGUGCUUAACACAUGCAAGUCGAACGGAAAGGCCCUGCUUUUGUGGGGUGCUCGAGUGGCGAACGGGUGAGUAACACGUGAGUAACCUGCCCUUGACUUUGGGAUAACUUCAGGAAACUGGGGCUAAUACCGGAUAGGAGCUCCUGCUGCAUGGUGGGGGUUGGAAAGUUUCGGCGGUGUGGGAUGGACUCGCGGCUUAUCAGCUUGUUGGUGGGGUAGUGGCUUACCAAGGCUUUGACGGGUAGCCGGCCUGAGAGGGUGACCGGCCACAUUGGGACUGAGAUACGGCCCAGACUCCUACGGGAGGCAGCAGUGGGGAAUAUUGCACAAUGGGCGGAAGCCUGAUGCAGCAACGCCGCGUGCGGGAUGACGGCCUUCGGGUUGUAAACCGCUUUCGCCUGUGACGAAGCGUGAGUGACGGUAAUGGGUAAAGAGGCACCGGCUAACUACGUG
This 468-nucleotide ribosomal RNA is filed under the name uncultured bacterium. RNAcentral describes it as "partial 16S ribosomal RNA". It matches the Rfam family "Bacterial small subunit ribosomal RNA", at positions 28 to 507 of the family's 1533-position model. The record is from RNAcentral.